GAUGGAGGACAGGUGAUCGCGGCUGCAGGUGUCGAAAGACCGCAGGUGAGGAAAGUCCGGGCUUCACAGGGCAGGAUGCCGGUUAACGGCCGGUGGAGGAAACUCUAAGGAAAGUGCAACAGAAAUAUACCGCUAUAUGUCGUCGGUCCUUUCAGGACUGACGACCUGCGCAAAUCCCAACGCGAAGCGUUAUUUUCAUGGGAUUUGCACCUUUCAUUUAAAGUGGGAGAACAGGCAGAGAGUCUUUUAAGGACUGGCGAUAUGUAGUAAGGGUGGAAUGGCAGUGUAAGAGACUACCGCCUCGCUGGUAACAGGGAGGGCACAUGUAAACCCCAUUCGAAGCAAGACCGAAACAAAGCUUUGACGUGGCCCGCCAGCUUUAGGUAGGUCGCUUGAGGCGGCUGGUAACAGUCGUCCUAGAUAGAUGAUCACUCAACGACAUAACCCGGCUUAUCGUCUUGCGCAAUGU
This 469-nucleotide RNase P RNA is filed under the name Lachnospiraceae bacterium. Its description in RNAcentral is "RNase P RNA component class A". It matches the Rfam family "Bacterial RNase P class A". Rfam says of the family: Ribonuclease P (RNase P) is a ubiquitous endoribonuclease, found in archaea, bacteria and eukarya as well as chloroplasts and mitochondria. The record is from RNAcentral. Lineage: Bacteria; Bacillati; Bacillota; Clostridia; Lachnospirales; Lachnospiraceae.